GAAUCCUUUCGUGCAUGAGCGUCAGUAUUGGCCCAGGGGGCUGCCUUCGCCAUCGGUAUUCCUCCACAUCUCUACGCAUUUCACUGCUACACGUGGAAUUCUACCCCCCUCUGCCAUACUCUAGCCCGCCAGUCACAAAUGCAGUUCCCAGGUUAAGCCCGGGGAUUUCACAUCUGUCUUAGCGGACCGCCUGCGCACGCUUUACGCCCAGUAAUUCCGAUUAACGCUUGCACCCUACGUAUUACCGCGGCUGCUGGCACGUAGUUAGCCGGUGCUUAUUCUUCCGGUACCGUCAUCCGCCACGGGUAUUAACCACGACGUUUUCUUUCCGGACAAAAGUGCUUUACAACCCGAAGGCCUUCUUCACACACGCGGCAUUGCUGGAUCAGGGUUGCCCCCAUUGUCCAAAAUUCCCCACUGCUGCCUCCCA
RNAcentral lists this ribosomal RNA (430 nucleotides) under Paraburkholderia sp. RNAcentral describes it as "partial 16S ribosomal RNA". The record is from RNAcentral. Lineage: Bacteria; Pseudomonadati; Pseudomonadota; Betaproteobacteria; Burkholderiales; Burkholderiaceae.